This 240-nucleotide unclassified non-coding RNA is filed under the name soil metagenome. RNAcentral describes it as "partial contains 5.8S ribosomal RNA, internal transcribed spacer 2, and large subunit ribosomal RNA". The record is from RNAcentral.
AACUGAUACUACCUGCGGGAACCUGCGGAAGGAUCAUUAGUGAAGUUUGGGUGUCUCGUCGGAGAGGCCCGUCUUUCCACAUUUUUCAACCCUGUGCACUUGUCGUCAGUGCGGGUCUCUUCUCCUGUGGACCCGCCUGAUUAGGAGCCUUUCACUUAUUUAAAAAAGAUACAUUUUCUUUUUUUUUUAACAAACGCAAGUGAAUGAAUGUAAACCAUGGUGGUGUAUAACCAAGAACCA